GCGGGCGUGGCGGAGCCGGCAGACGCGCGGGACUUAGGAUCCCGUGGGCAAAGGCCCGUGUGGGUUCAAAUCCCACCGCCCGCACCA
Molecule: transfer RNA, 87 nt
Filed under: Bacillota bacterium
Lineage: Bacteria; Bacillati; Bacillota
Description: tRNA-Leu
Rfam family: tRNA
About the family: Transfer RNA (tRNA) molecules are approximately 80 nucleotides in length.
Source: RNAcentral